Molecule: transfer RNA, 69 nt
Filed under: Ictidomys tridecemlineatus (thirteen-lined ground squirrel)
Lineage: Eukaryota; Metazoa; Chordata; Mammalia; Rodentia; Sciuridae
Description: Spermophilus tridecemlineatus (thirteen-lined ground squirrel) tRNA
Rfam family: tRNA
About the family: Transfer RNA (tRNA) molecules are approximately 80 nucleotides in length. Their secondary structure includes four short double-helical elements and three loops (D, anti-codon, and T loops).
Source: Rfam by way of RNAcentral
GGGGUUGUAGCUCAGUGGUAGAGCGCUUGCCUCACAUGGGUAAGGUCCUGGGUUCAAUCCUCAGCACCA